Molecule: unclassified non-coding RNA, 345 nt
Filed under: Bombus terrestris (buff-tailed bumblebee)
Lineage: Eukaryota; Metazoa; Arthropoda; Insecta; Hymenoptera; Apidae
Description: misc RNA ENSBTSG00005024914.1
Source: RNAcentral
UGAUAGAGGAACCAGUGGAUGAAUUUGUAAUAGAAAAAUGUAUUGAAAUAAGUACUAGUACAGACAUAGUGUAUGAGGUCAAAAUCAAGUAAAUUGUUAUCAUUAUUUAUUAAUUUAAUGUGUGAUAUUGUUGAGGUAGACUGAUGGGGAAACCAGUGGAUUAAUUUGUAAUAGAAAAAUGUACUGAGAUAAGUACAAGUACAGACAUAGUGUAUGAGGUCAAAAUCAAGUAAAUUGUUAUCAUUAUUUAUUAAUUUAAUGUGUGAUAUUAUUGAGGUAGACUGAUGGGGAAACCAGUGGAUUAAUUUGUAAUAGAAAAAUGUACUGAAAUAAGUACAAGUACAG